Alnus glutinosa is the source of this 79-nucleotide small nucleolar RNA. RefSeq annotates it as small nucleolar RNA R160. Lineage: Eukaryota; Viridiplantae; Streptophyta; Magnoliopsida; Fagales; Betulaceae. The record is from RefSeq and is a predicted model, not a curated record. The transcript has a single exon.
AGCAAAAUGAUGAGGCGUUUAUAUCUGAAUCUGAUGUAGAACCCCAUACCAUUUUGGUCUUCAAAGUUCUCUGAUUGCU